This 253-nucleotide ribosomal RNA is filed under the name uncultured bacterium. RNAcentral describes it as "partial 16S ribosomal RNA". It matches the Rfam family "Bacterial small subunit ribosomal RNA", at positions 524 to 776 of the family's 1533-position model. The record is from RNAcentral.
UACGGAGGGUGCAAGCGUUAUCCGGAUUCACUGGGUUUAAAGGGAGCGUAGGCGGCUUUGCAAGUCGGGUGUGAAAUCCCCAGGCUUAACCUGGGAACUGCAUUCGAGACUGCAUUGCUAGAGUAUGGGAGAGGGAAGUGGAAUUUCCGGUGUAGCGGUGAAAUGCGUAGAUAUCGGAAGGAACAUCAGUGGCGAAAGCGACUUCCUGGACCAAUACUGACGCUCAUGUGCGAAAGCGUGGGGAGCAAACAGG